This 440-nucleotide ribosomal RNA is filed under the name Antiopella longidentata. RNAcentral's name for it is "partial 16S ribosomal RNA". It matches the Rfam family "Bacterial large subunit ribosomal RNA", at positions 1829 to 2597 of the family's 2925-position model. The record is from RNAcentral. Lineage: Eukaryota; Metazoa; Mollusca; Gastropoda; Nudibranchia; Janolidae.
AGCUAUAAGGUAUUAUUUAUAGUCUAACCUGCUCAAUGUGAGUAAAUCAUAAAUAGCCGCGGUACUCUGACCGUGCUAAGGUAGCGUAAUCAGUUGGCUUUUAAAUGGAGUCGGGUAUGAAUGGGAGAACCAAGUUUAGCUGUCUAUUAACUAAUAGCUCGAAUUUACUUUUUAAGUGAAAAAGCUUAAGAGUGGAAAAGGGACGAGAAGACCCUUAGAAUUUUUUCUAAAGUACAUUUUAAGUAUAAGGAUUUUGUUGGGGCGACAAAGAAAUAUUUUAUAACUUUCUUUAAAGAAACAUUCCGGUUGUAUUAAUUAAGAAUAAAUUACCUGAGGGAUAACAGCAUAAUUCAAUAAAUGAGUUUGUGACCUCGAUGUUGGACUAGGAAACUAGCAGAUUAGUCAUUUGUUGUGUGGGUUCUGUUCGAACUUUAAUUCCU